AUGGCUCAGCAAGCGGAUGGCAUUUAUGAUGUGCCAGACGGGCCUCCUUUGAUGACUAUCAACUUGAAGCUGAGCAGCGAAAAUUCCUUUUCAGAAAUGCACCGCUCCUACGCAAGCCAGAUGGAGCGCCUACGGAAACGUCUCAAAAGGAAGUUUAAGACCCUCGUGAAGGGCAAGAGGAAGUUUCAUCUCACCCCAGAUGAGUUAGCUGUUUUCACGGUUGCAUUUACUGAUGGUGAAAGGACUGUCAGGGCGAUCAUUGAAGGAAGGCAUAUGUGGGUGAGAGGAUUCGAAACUACAGAUGGACAGGUGUAUGAGUUCAAGGAGAAGAAGCAGGGACAUGAAACAAAGAAGUAUAUCAAAGGGUCAAUUUUACUUUCCCAUGGAGGAGGGUAUCCCACACUACUACGUGAAGGCCCUCCACUUGAAAACUUCGAAGUGGGCUAUCCUGCUCUAAAAGAUAUGCUUGAUCAGCUAUCUCAUUUUGAUCCAACCAAGUCUUCUGUCCAGUCUCUGCGUGCAAUGGCGGCACUGAUAAUACACACUGCUGAGAGCAUAAAGAACAACUUCAUCUGCUUAAUUGUUCUGAAAUCGCUCGAUCCAAAGCUGGGUGCAAGGAAGCAAGAGUUGACAGAUCUGGGAAAUGGAUACAUCCGUAGCUGGGCAAAGAUAUCAAAGCUAAUCCUGAGAUAUCUUCACAUUUCAACCAAGGUUUGGGAUGUAAAUGAACAGAAAAAGGUAAAAAAUGAAGAGUUCUAUAAAGUUCCAUGCUGGACAAAUGAUCCCAAGGAUGUGCUCAAUCAUAUCAUAUUCAUAAAAAGUGAUGAAUAUCUGGAUAAUGUUCUGCAUGUACAAGAUGGCCAAACACGAACCCUACCAGAUGUGCUUCAAGCUUCUAUAGGUGUGGUUGUUGUGGGAGGGGUGAACCUUGCCUUAAAUUAUGCAACAGAUAUUCCCCGUGUUGCUCAAGUGCUACUGCGAGCAACUUCAUUGUCCUCAAAUGUCCAGGUCAUCGAAGGAGAGUUUCCCAUCUACACAGACGGACACAUAGACUUGUGUACAAUGCAUCUGAAUUUGAAGAAAAAGGAAGGACAUCAAGAGGAAGUGGUUAAGUUAACACUAACAGUGAGUGCUUUGCGACAGGCGACUGCAGAUGCAAACCAAGUCCAUGAUGAGGGUGUGUACUGUAAAAUGACUAAAGGAUGUGUUAAGGACAGUAAGAUGAGCACCGCACAACUGGAGCUAUAUUCAGAAAACAGAGAAUUAUUCGAUAAACUUGUAGACGAAAGAGUUGCAGAAUCUGAAGCAGAGUACCCAACGAUGGAUCCAAUGCUGCUGCUAUGCAGUAAGAAAGAGUCACCACUAAACUUACAAGACAUUGGUGUUGGGCUGGUGUGCUGA
RNAcentral lists this ribosomal RNA (1401 nucleotides) under Triticum aestivum (bread wheat). RNAcentral describes it as "partial small subunit ribosomal RNA". Lineage: Eukaryota; Viridiplantae; Streptophyta; Magnoliopsida; Poales; Poaceae. The record is from RNAcentral.